This 206-nucleotide long non-coding RNA is filed under the name Medicago truncatula (barrel medic). RNAcentral's name for it is "long non-coding RNA (MTRU_LNC002878)". The record is from RNAcentral. Lineage: Eukaryota; Viridiplantae; Streptophyta; Magnoliopsida; Fabales; Fabaceae.
UGUUUUAGCAGCAUACAUCUUAAAGUGUAUUUAAACAUUAUUUAGUUAUCUAGCAAAGGUUUGCGGUAGUUGUUAAAUUACACCCACUUAUUUUUUAGAAUGAGUGUUUCAACAACAUGCACCUAAAAUAUAUUUAACCACUUUUUAGUUAUAUCUUUGCUAAAAUACUUCUUAUAAAAACCAAGCGGGUGUAUCAUAGCAAAUCC